RNAcentral lists this ribosomal RNA (324 nucleotides) under uncultured Leptolinea sp. RNAcentral describes it as "bacterial SSU rRNA". It matches the Rfam family "Bacterial small subunit ribosomal RNA", at positions 1044 to 1382 of the family's 1533-position model. Lineage: Bacteria; Bacillati; Chloroflexota; Anaerolineae; Anaerolineales; Anaerolineaceae. The record is from RNAcentral.
CAUGGCUGUCGUCAGCUCGUGUCGUGAGAUGUUCGGUUAAGUCCGCUAACGAGCGCAACCCUCGUCGUGUGUUAUACGUGUCACACGAUACUGCCGGUAUCAAGCCGGAGGAAGGUGGGGAUGAUGUCAAGUCAGCAUGGCCUUUAUAUCCUGGGCUACACACACGCUACAAUGGCAGAUACAAUAGGUUGCGAAACCGCGAGGUGGAGCCAAUCCUCAAAGUCUGUCUCAGUUCAGAUUGUAGGCUGCAACUCGCCUGCAUGAAGUUGGAGUUGCUAGUAACCGCAGGUCAGCAAUACUGCGGUGAAUACGUUCCCGGGUCUU